GUCUACGGCCAUGCUACCCUGAACAAGCUCAAUCCCGUCUGAUCUCAGAAGCUAAGCAGGGUCGGGCCUGGUUAGUACUUGGAUAGGAGACCACCUAGGAAGACCAGGUGCUGUAGGCG
RNAcentral lists this ribosomal RNA (119 nucleotides) under Pteropus alecto (black flying fox). Lineage: Eukaryota; Metazoa; Chordata; Mammalia; Chiroptera; Pteropodidae. The record is from RNAcentral.